CGUCUACUUCCGGUCUUUGACGUAGCGCCGCGUCUGCUUCCGCUCACUGCCGUAGCACUUUCUUUCCUUCUUUUCUGCGUGGGAGGAGGCUUGGCAAGGUCCUCUCCGGAGUUCGGAUGUUUGAGCGGCAGUGUGGCGAGGUUUCGCGCUGCGGGUCCUGAGCCGUUUCGUUGUUAGCGCUCAGGUCGCCUUGCCGGGCGGCUGAAAGCGCGGACAAACUGGAAGGUAGACGCACCGCUCAUCGCUGCUUUACUCAGGCCGAGAAAAGCUGAGUUCAUAGUUGCUGGUGAACUGAGCUGGAACUUGUUAGUGCAGCAGGUGUUUAUUGGAGAAGUAAUUCACAAGGAAGUGAAGAUGAGUAAGAGCAAAGAUGAUGCACCUCAUGAGCUAGAGAGCCAGUUUAUCUUACGGUUGCCCCCAGAAUAUGCCGCUACUGUGAGGAGGGCAGUGCAGUCUGGGCACGUCAACCUGAAAGAUAGACUGAGCAUUGAGUUACACCCUGAUGGGCGUCAUGGGAUUGUCAGAGUGGAUAGAGUGCCCCUGGCUGCAAAAUUGGUAGAUUUGCCGUGUGUUACGGAGAGCUUGAAAACCAUUGAUAAAAAAACCUUUUACAAGACAGCUGAUAUCUCUCAGAUGCUUGUAGCCACAGUAGAUGGUGAUCUAUACCCUCCUGUGGAGGAGCCAGCUGCUACUGCUGAUCCCAAAGCAAACAAGAAAAAAGAUAAGGACAAAGAGAAAAAAUUUGUUUGGAACCAUGGAAUUACUCUACCUCUAAAAAAUGUCAGAAAGAGAAGGUUCCGGAAGACAGCAAAGAAGAAGUACAUUGAAUCUCCAGAUGUGGAAAAAGAAGUAAAGCGGCUGCUGAGUACAGAUGCAGAAGCUGUCAGUACUCGUUGGGAGAUAAUUGCUGAAGAUGAAACAAAGGAGGCAGAAAAUCAAGGCCUUGAUAUCUCCUCUCCUGGAAUGUCUGGCCACAGGCAGGGCCAUGACUCACUAGAGCAUGAUGAGCUUCGAGAGAUAUUCAAUGACCUCAGCAGCAGCAGCGAAGAUGAAGAAGAUGUAAACAUCAUUGACACUGAAGAGGAUCUGGAGAGACAGCUACAGGACAAGCUAAAUGAGUCAGAUGAACAACACCAAGAAAAUGAAGGAACCAAUCAGUUGGUUAUGGGGAUUCAGAAGCAGAUUGAUAAUAUGAAAGGCAAGCUUCAAGAAACCCAAGACAGAGCAAAGCGCCAGGAGGAUCUCAUCAUGAAGGUAGAAAACCUGGCUCUGAAGAACAGGUUUCAAGCUGUUCUGGAUGAGCUCAAACAGAAGGAAGACCGGGAAAAGGAGCAGCUUAGCUCUUUGCAAGAAGAGCUGGAAUCACUUCUGGAGAAGUGAAAAGGUUGACUUUAGUCCUUAGACUAGUCAGCUUAAGAAGAAUUUAUUUUCAGAGUGAGGUCUUGAAAAAUUCUUCUUUUUUCUUUGAAAUAUUCUUAUUUCCUGUAAUGCUAGGAGUUAUUGUGUUGAUUGUUUUCACUCUUAAGAAAAUAGGAUUACAUAGGCAGAUUUGUUGUAGUGUAAGGUUAGUGAAGUGACAACACUGAGCUUUUAAUCACUUCACCAUAGGACUUUAUUACAAUUUGUUUCCUAAGUUUCUAGUCCUAUUCUUCGGUGCUAAGAUCAGUAAGAAGCUAGCUAGCCUACAGGCAAUGGAGUGUUUUUUUUUUUUUUUUUUGUUUUUUUUUUAAGAAAUAUAUUUUUUUACCUUCUCAGCAAGUUUCCAUGUUACAGAAAUGCAAGUUUUUUCAUAAAAGUUGUUUUUUGCACAAUAAAAGUUACUAAUUUUCACUUUGCUUAUCUUGUUCUUCAAUGAAUACUGAAAGUUGAGGUGAGCUCAUGGAGUUUAAUGGCUGAGUGGUAUAGAUCAAGAUACAUGCUGUUGUUUUGCCUUUUUAGAAAAGGAAUACACCAGAUAAGGAAAUGGAGAAAUUCAUCUUUGCAUUAUAGAUUAUGGUUCAGGCCUACCUACACCAUCUGGAGGUUUGUGAACACUCGGUCCAGAGCCUUCUUAAACUAUCCUACUUUUCAUUGAAGGAUAUCUGUCUAUAUCUUUUUAUUAAACACUAAAGUUAUCUAUAAAAUACUGGAAGCAGUUAAACAGUUAUCAGAUGAACUAUUCCACUUGCUUAGAUUAAGAUUAUAUUCUUAACUGUUGCCAUUUUAAUUGCUAUGCUUUUUUAAUAGGCAUGUUUGUUCAUGUUAUUUCAUUAGUAUUUGCCACUAUGAAAGCCUGUUACCAGGUCUGGUAUUUUAAAAUUUCAUACAUAGAAUUUUUCUCUGAGGCAUUUAAUGUUUUAUGGAUGGGAGGGGUGUUUUUGGGGAAAAACCAAGAUUGGUAAGGUGCAUAGUUAAAAAUUAAUUUCUGUCUGAUUUGUUUGUAAAACUUCACUUUAAAAGUACUUGCUUCAUAAAUCAAAGUUCAGAUUUUGUUAGAAAACAGUAGUGAAGUGUUCAAAAUGAGUUAUUAAGACUGAAUUCAGGAUCAAGCCUCUUAAUGCUUAGACGCUUCAGAAUGUACUUUUCCUUGCGUUUUCACAAGCACGUGACUGCAAUGCAGCUUAAAGAUUCCCUUAAUAUCUGGCUCUAGAGUGUUAGAGUCAUAAAGUAUGUGUUCUUAACAAAGUGGCAGGUGAAAAAUUCUAAGUAUAUUUAAGAUAUUUUCACCACACUUAAAGAACUGACACCAGAGGAAGAUACAGUAUUUAACCAAAGAGUUUUUACUAUGAUGUUGGUACAGGUGCUACCGAAAUACCAUCAAUAUUGGAAGGAUGUUGGAUGCACAUUUUUUCUUAACAGAAUAUUCUACUGGUGUGGUCUUGGUUCAGUUAUUAGCUCUACUUGGAUUUUCAAAUCCAUAAUUUAAAGACUAACAUGAACUUCAGAUUUAGUAUAUUCAACUGUGUCCUGGAAAUACUAAAAAGCUGCCCCCUGGCAUGCCAAGUAUGAAUUCAAAAUGGAAGUCAUCUGGCUCCUUUCAUUGAGAGCUUGCCUUCUGUUUUGCUGUUGACAGCUGCCAGAGCAUCUGAAGCUCCAACCUAGUCUUAACAGCUUGAGGUCAAGGCAUACCAGUACAUAUCCUAGAUCAGUGAUUUGAUUGUGUGAGUUUUGGGCCAUGUAAUUUGUAGCUUAAUCUGUCUGCUUCGAUUUUCUUCUCUGAAAUGGAGUCGAUAGUAUUACCAGCCUUACAGGGAUAUCAGACUGACUUAAAUCAUAAGACAGGCGUACUUAGAAUAGUACCUGGAAUAAUGAUAAGUGAACAGUGAACAAAGAAAUGUUACCACAUACUAGAGUAGAUCAUAAAAGGCAUUAAAUGGUCUUGAAUUUGAGAGUGACGGAGGUGAUAGUAAGAAAUUUUUAAUUUUGAUUCACUAUAUAUCUCAGGAUGGCCUUGAACUUGGUUCUCUUGUCUCGGUCAAGUGUGGAGACUGUAGGUGUGCAUGGUCAGGCCUGGCUUAGCAAACAGCUGUUUUAAUUAGGUUUUGUUUCAAAUUCAACAAAGACUCAAACCUUAUAUUUUGGAAAGUUUAUUUAGAUUAUCUACAGCAUAAAAAUUGACUUAGUUUAUUCCUGUAGCUUUCCUGUUUGUUUCUGGACAUUUUUGUAUUAAUAUUAAAAAUGGCAUAGUGAUUAUCUGUAACAUAAAAUUUAAAAGAUGAUAAAGAUUGAGAUCCACAUCCUGCAGUCUCAUGAAAGAUUCACUUUUCUCAUGCACCUCUUAGCUAAGGAGUAUAGUAUAGAGAUGAACAUUCAGUGUUUCUGGGUUUAUUUGCAAAUUGUGCUCUGUGUGUGUGUGUGUGUGUGUGUGUGUGUGUGUGCGCGCGCGCGCGCGUGCGCGCGUGUGUGCGCGUGCGUGUGCGUGUGUGUUGGGGUGCUGGGCCUUGGGAAUGCUAGGCGAUUGCUCUGUCACUGAGCUGCAUAUAGAUCUUAUCACAUUUUAAGAGGUGUCAUCUCAUGCCUUUAUUUGGUGUGUACAAAACACUUAUGUAGUUUUUUAAUGCAAAAAAUAAUGAUUUUGUUAUGUAGACACUUUAUAGACUUUUCUAAAAAUAUGAACAGUUUUAUCAACAUGUGAAUCUGUAUUUUUUUCCUAAUAGUUUUUUCCAUUGUUAUUCACUACUGAUGGUAAUUAGCUGUAAGGAAAGGAACUCAUUAUAGUCUGUGCUCAGAGUUCUUGAUACCUAAGAUCGUUAUCUUUUGAAGCCAUCUCUCAGAGCAUAGAAAAUUUAUUUUUCUAUAUAAAUUGGAUCAAUGGAGGCUCCAACUCAAAAUGCACAGAUUAAGCGGGAAUGAGGUGAACAGCAGCUGAAAAGGAUUUGUGUGCAAGCUUAUGUAUUUACUCUAGGGACCCUGUUAAAUCAGUGUUCAGGCAUACAGAUUUGAGAUUAGAUGAUUAGGUUCUGGAGAGAUGACCCCGGGUUAGGUUUGCACACAUGGUGCCUUACAACUAAUUUUAAGUCCAAUUCCAGGGUAUUCAACCUUGUUGUGAUUUCCAUGGUACAUAUACAUGCAAAUUGGUAAAAAUCUUUUUAAAAAUCUUAGAAUAUUAUCUCUAAAGAAAAGUUAGAGAAAAGAAUUCCAAUGUCAGCAUUGGACAUUUUCCAAAGAAAAGGCCAUCUGCUCAAGAAAGAAAGCCUACCUCUUACCAUGCACACUCUUGAGUUUUAAUGUCUCACUGUUGUUUUGAGGCAGGGUCUCUGUGGUUAGGCCUUAUGGGACUGUCCCUGUAGAUUAGGCUGGCCUUGAGUUGAGAAAUCUGCUGGUCUCUGCUUGGGAUUAAAAGCAGGUGCCAGUGCACCAGCCUAAAGCCUUACUUUUAAACAUAGUCCAGGAAAGUGAAUGAAAGAAACGUUUCAGUACCCUGGCCCCAGAUUUGGUUACACCUCCAAAGUAGUGUUUCUGCAGAACUUCAACUCCUGCCUUACCUGCCCUGGAGAAAAGCACCUGCUGUGGGAUGUUUUAUUUCGUACCAGGGACUCAAAUGUAGCAGUUCCCAAGUUUGUCUUCUCUAUUGAUUAUCCAUUUUUUGAGGCAGAGUUUCAAUAUAUAUCGCUGGCUGGCCUCAAACUCUCUGCUCUCUGCUUCUUGAAUGCUGGAGUUAAAGGCCCCUAGAAUGGCCUGUCAUUUCUUUGAAAGCACUGUUCUGGAAAGUUGUGCUCUUAACAUCCAGGUUGGAUCAACUGAGAGCACCUCCUGUGCCAUAUUGCAUGGUAAGAAAUCAGGAAAACGAGCCCAAUUUGGCUGUGGUACUGAGGGUGAAACAGCUGUGGUUCACCGAGCUGCAGUAAAGCGUUUCCUCCCAGGUAUUUAUGGGAGAAAUGGCGGUUACCACAACCACUGAAAGCAUUCUGCCAUUGCCCUCGGGGACAGUAGGGUGCUCGUGGAUGCACGUGCUUGGGGGUUAUUCCCCAGCGGCCAGAGAGUGCGGUGGCCCAAGGCUUUGGCUUUAUCUUUGACAAGGAGACAGGUCCGCAGUGGGGACCAUGGGCGCCUACAGAGACUUGGCUUCUGGCGACACCCUCGGGAGUGUGGAGGAACAUGAAAUCCACCCUGCCAUCCAAGCCGCCAUAGACCUCACUGCCGGCGCAGCAGGGGCCGCAGCGUGUGUGCUGACCGGGCAGCCCUUCGACACCGUAAAAGUAAAGAUGCAGACAUUUCCCUACAUGUACAAAGGCCUCGCUGACUGUUUCCUAAAGACAUACAACCAAGUGAGCACCAACACAUUUAUGCUGAUUUCUAAGAAGAGAUUGUACCUGUGUACCAGCAUGGCUUCCGCAUUCGAGUAAAAUUUCAUAAUAGGCAUCCUGGAUUUUUUAUGCUGUCCUUAGUGUGGUUAAAGUAUAGUUAGUUAUAUUCUACCAGCACUGGUAUUGUUAGGUGGGGCAAUGAGUAUCAGAGAAGACUUUGGGAAGCUGUGUGGUCUUUACCUGCAUUAUUUCCUCAUUCUUCUCUUCCAAAGGUGUCAGGCUUUAGAUUGAGGAAGGAGCUAAAGGGAUGGGAUUAUAUAUUGUGCUUUGAUGAUCCAUGUAGAUGGAGAGAAUUCUAAUAACUCCUUGCCUCUGGGUACUGGCCUGGACAGGAAUUCACAGUGUUGGGUUGGUUCACUUUAGGUCUCUCAUCGUUCUCCAUACCAUCACCCAUUUCCCCAGGAAACAAAGUAAAGAAGGCAAGAGUAGGUUUGGUUCUGUUCGGUGACAGAGUAAGAGUCCUGCUAGAUGAAGUCAUCACUUAGGCAGGACUAGUGUGCACUUAGUAGUACAUCACAGUAAGCAAUGUGAAAGGGGUGACUUAACCCCUGAAGUUCACCUUGGGUCCAUAACUGCUUCAGUGUGGUCAGUGUUUUAGUUUUCUAAAUUUGGUUCUGGUGGUCAGUGAACCUUAAAUGACUGGAUUUACAAUAUAAAACAAUGGACCAUAAGAAAAGCCAUUUUACUAAACUCUACGUAUGCAUAUAAGCACAGACUAUCUCCCAAUAAAACUCCCAAACACACCAAAAUGAGAUGAGUCCCCUUCCCCAAAUUAAAAUUCAGUUUACCUCCAACAGACCUGGAAUUAAGCAGAUGUUCAUGGACCAUAUGAUUUUAGAGUCAUUCUUUAUACCAAUAAAGUAAGCUUCGUCUGUGUUGCUACAAGAUCAACAGGGUCUUUUCAAUAACAGGUGUUGAUACCUAUGGAGCUGAAAGAAGGUGAGGUACCAGUUUAAUAGUAUGUGUGCCCUGUGCCAGGCCUUUAACUUCCUUUUUAAAACCCACUAAGCCAAACUAUAGUUCCAGAUGCAAGAUUCAAGUUAAUUAGAAGAUGACAAAGAAGCCCUGCUGGGGAUAGUUAGCAAGAUGUCUCUCAAUAUUACACACAGUCUGCUUAGGAUCUAUAGUUGUUUUUUUUUUUUUUUCCCAUAUAUUUUUUUCUAUCUGAAGCCAUUUGCUAGUUUAAUUAUAAGUUGUUUCUGUGUGUAAGUUCUGUGCACCACACUUUAUGGUCAGUGUAGUCCUCCAGCAUAUAGCAUCUAUGAGCUGGCCUGGAAGCUCUCCUUUCAGCACACUUGCUUCUCACAUACUAUACAUUAAACGUUUAAAUGCCUUCAGUAGAAAUCAUAUGAAGCAAGCAAGAGUGAAUGUGAGUAGAAGGAAAUAGUCACACUUUUCCGGUUUAAUUAACCCUUGGUUUAACUUUUGGGUACAUUUUGUAUCCUUUCAGAUCUCUAGGUUAGACAGCAGUUAAGAUAUGAACAGUGGAAGUGGCUGGGGUCAAGCUCUGUUGUUUAAUCUUAGCUCUGGGGCGGGACAGGAAACCUGGGCUCGCUGAAACGCAGUUAGGAGACCAGGUCAUGCAAUUUUGUGACUAGGUCUUAUGACCUGGUCUUGUGACCAAUAUUAUGGGAAAUCCUGGUUUGAGCAGUUAAUCUAUAUGAGAUCAACCUUCCACCAAUCAAAAGGAAGGAUGUGACCAUGUGACAUAGGAAAUGUUUUACCACAACUGGAGAUCCUAUCCUCAGAACUUCACUGGUCUGUGAGAGCAAAUAUUUACUCUUAAUAAACUUCACUUUAUUCUAAUGAA
Molecule: non-coding RNA, 7596 nt
Organism: Rattus norvegicus (Norway rat)
Lineage: Eukaryota; Metazoa; Chordata; Mammalia; Rodentia; Muridae
Source: RefSeq, a predicted model, not a curated record